UACGUAGGAGACGAGCGUUGUCCGGAAUUACUGGGCGUAAAGCGCGUGUAGGCGGAUGAGCAAGUCUGCUGUGAAAGCUCCUGGCUUAACCGGGAGUGGUCGGUGGAAACUGCUCGUCUGGAGGACGGUAGAGGUAGGUAGAAUUCCCGGUGUAGCGGUGAAAUGCGUAGAGAUCGGGAAGAACAUCGGUGGCGAAAGCGCUCUGCUGGACUGCAACUGACACUCAGGGACGAAAGCUAGGGGAGCGAAUGGG
Molecule: ribosomal RNA, 253 nt
Filed under: uncultured bacterium
Lineage: Bacteria
Description: partial 16S ribosomal RNA
Rfam family: Bacterial small subunit ribosomal RNA
Source: RNAcentral